This 460-nucleotide ribosomal RNA is filed under the name uncultured bacterium. RNAcentral describes it as "partial 16S ribosomal RNA". It matches the Rfam family "Bacterial small subunit ribosomal RNA", at positions 338 to 795 of the family's 1533-position model. The record is from RNAcentral.
CCUACGGGAGGCAGCAGUGAGGAAUAUUGGUCAAUGGACGAGAGUCUGAACCAGCCAAGUAGCGUGAAGGAUGACUGCCCUAUGGGUUGUAAACUUCUUUUAUAUGGGAAUAAAACGUUCCACGUGUGGGAUUUUGUAUGUACCAUAUGAAUAAGGAUCGGCUAACUCCGUGCCAGCAGCCGCGGUGAUACGGAGGAUCCGAGCGUUAUCCGGAUUUAUUGGGUUUAAAGGGAGCGUAGGUGGAUUGUUAAGUCAGUUGUGAAAGUUUGCGGCUCAACCGUAAAAUUGCAGUUGAAACUGGCAGUCUUGAGUACAGUAGAGGUGGGCGGAAUUCGUGGUGUAGCGGUGAAAUGCUUAGAUAUCACGAAGAACUCCGAUUGCGAAGGCAGUUCACUGGACUGCAACUGACACUGAGGCUCGAAAGUGUGGGUAUCAAACAGGAUUAGAUACCCUAGUAGUC